AUCCAACUGACGAGUCCCAAAUAGGAUGAAACGCGUAUACUGGAU
Molecule: non-coding RNA, 45 nt
Filed under: Schistosoma mattheei
Lineage: Eukaryota; Metazoa; Platyhelminthes; Trematoda; Strigeidida; Schistosomatidae
Source: RNAcentral